RNAcentral lists this unclassified non-coding RNA (358 nucleotides) under soil metagenome. RNAcentral describes it as "partial contains 5.8S ribosomal RNA, internal transcribed spacer 2, and large subunit ribosomal RNA". The stretch from base 1 to 120 matches the Rfam family "5.8S ribosomal RNA", at positions 35 to 154 of the family's 154-position model. The record is from RNAcentral.
GAUGAAGAACGUAGCGAAAUGCAAUAAGUAAUGUGAAUUGCAGAAUUCAGUGAAUCAUCGAAUCUUUGAACGCACAUUGCGCCCGUCAGUAUUCUGGCGGGCAUGCCUGUUCGAGCGUCAUUACGCCCCUCAAGUCCCCUGUGGACUUGGUGUUGGGGAUCGGCGAGGCUGGUUUUCCAGCACAGCCGUCCCUUAAAUUAAUUGGCGGUCUCGCCGUGGCCCUCCUCUGCGCAGUAGUAAAACACUCGCAACAGGAGCCCGGCGCGGUCCACUGCCGUAAAACCCCCCAACUUUUUAUAGUUGACCUCGAAUCAGGUAGGACUACCCACUGAACUUAAGCAUAUCAAUAAGCGGAGGA